RNAcentral lists this ribosomal RNA (425 nucleotides) under uncultured bacterium. RNAcentral describes it as "bacterial SSU rRNA". It matches the Rfam family "Bacterial small subunit ribosomal RNA", at positions 355 to 772 of the family's 1533-position model. The record is from RNAcentral.
UGGGGAAUUUUGGACAAUGGGGGCAACCCUGAUCCAGCCAUGCCGCGUGUGUGAAGAAGGCCUUCGGGUUGUAAAGCACUUUCGGACGGAACAAAAUCGCACGGGUGAAUAUCCCGUGUGGAUGACGGUACCGUAAGAAGAAGCACCGGCUAACUACGUGCCAGCAGCCGCGGUAAUACGUAGGGUGCGAGCGUGAAUCGGAAUUACUGGGCGUAAAGUGUGCGCAGGCGGCUGAGCAAGUCGAGUGUGAAAUCCCCGGGCUUAACUUGGGAAUUGCGCUCGAAACUACUUGGCUGGAGUAUGGCAGAGGAAGGUGGAAUUCCACGUGUAGCGGUGAAAUGCGUAGAGAUGUGGAGGAACACCGAUGGCGAAGGCAGCCUUCUGGGCCAAUACUGACGCUCAUGCACGAAAGCGUGGGGAGCAAA